Molecule: transfer RNA, 68 nt
Filed under: Liua tsinpaensis (Tsinpa salamander)
Lineage: Eukaryota; Metazoa; Chordata; Amphibia; Caudata; Hynobiidae
Description: tRNA-Thr
Rfam family: tRNA
About the family: Transfer RNA (tRNA) molecules are approximately 80 nucleotides in length.
Source: RNAcentral
ACCCAGAUAGCUUAACUAAAGCAUCGGUCUUGUAAGCCGAAGAUGAGAAUUAACCCUCUCCCUGAGUG